RNAcentral lists this ribosomal RNA (495 nucleotides) under uncultured bacterium. RNAcentral's name for it is "partial 16S ribosomal RNA". It matches the Rfam family "Bacterial small subunit ribosomal RNA", at positions 28 to 507 of the family's 1533-position model. The record is from RNAcentral.
GACGAACGCUGGCGGCGUGCCUAAUACAUGCAAGUAGAACGCUGAAGGAGGAGCUUGCUUCUCUGGAUGAGUUGCGAACGGGUGAGUAACGCGUAGGUAACCUGCCUGGUAGCGGGGGAUAACUAUUGGAAACGAUAGCUAAUACCGCAUAAGAGUAGAUGUCGCAUGACAUUUGCUUAAAAGGUGCAAUUGCAUCACUACCAGAUGGACCUGCGUUGUAUUAGCUAGUUGGUGAGGUAACGGCUCACCAAGGCAACGAUACAUAGCCGACCUGAGAGGGUGAGCGGCCACACUGGGACUGAGACACGGCCCAGACUCCUACGGGAGGCAGCAGUAGGGAAUCUUCGGCAAUGGACGGAAGUCUGACCGAGAAACGCCGCGUGAGUGAAGAAGGUUUUCGGAUCGUAAAGCUCUGUUGUAAGAGAAGAACGAGUGUGAGAGUGGAAAGUUCACACUGUGACGGUAGCUUACCAGAAAGGGACGGCUAACUACGUG